AUCGCUUCUCAGCCUUUUGGCUAAGAUCAAGUGUAGUAUUUAUACAGAGACUGACAUCUUCAGGAUAGUGACAGUAUCUUUUUCAUUCUAAUUAUCUAGCAAAAUACUC
Molecule: small nuclear RNA, 109 nt
Organism: Pongo abelii (Sumatran orangutan)
Lineage: Eukaryota; Metazoa; Chordata; Mammalia; Primates; Hominidae
Gene: U2
Rfam family: U2 spliceosomal RNA
About the family: U2 is a small nuclear RNA (snRNA) component of the spliceosome (involved in pre-mRNA splicing). Complementary binding between U2 snRNA (in an area lying towards the 5' end but 3' to hairpin I) and the branchpoint sequence (BPS) of the intron results the bulging out of an unpaired adenosine, on the BPS, which initiates a nucleophilic attack at the intronic 5' splice site, thus starting the first of two transesterification reactions that mediate splicing.
Source: Ensembl